Cyprinus carpio carpio is the source of this 693-nucleotide long non-coding RNA. The record is from Ensembl. Lineage: Eukaryota; Metazoa; Chordata; Actinopteri; Cypriniformes; Cyprinidae.
GUCUUUUUUCCUCUUCUGCACGGCGAACAAAGGCGAGAGGCUUGGCUGAGACGAUCUGUGCACAAAGCAGGAAACUUUGUGGUUCAGAAGCAUGUCAUAUCACAAAAGAACGGCGGAGCCCGAAGCAGCCCCCAAGAUCCUUUGCAUCACUCCUCGAGCCAAUCAUCUCUGUUUGAGGUACGUGACAUAGCAACUGCCCUCCUGUAAAAUCCGGGCCCAUGGGACUGCUCUGUUUCUCUGUGUUUGGGCAGCUUGGCAAGGUUCAAACAAGGUUCAGGAAAGUGCAUGCUCGUGAGGGUACGUGAGCUCUACAGGAACCCCUUCAUGUGCUCGGUCUGUGUUGGAGAGUCGACCUCGCAAAUGAAGAAUUGUAACGUUUUUCAUCGCAGACGUCCAGUGUCAUUACAAACACGCUUCCAUUGUGACCUGUAAAGUUGAAAGGGCAUCGCCAAAUAUGGUUAAUGACGUAUAUUCCUGUGUCUGUCAGCAUGUGUCUCUCUGCCAAAGUUUAAUUUGACCCCGUUUGAAAACAACUAAUUUCCUGUGGAAUUCACAUUAACUCUCCCAAAUUAGGCCAGAUGAUCUUUGCAAAAAAAGGUUUUCAAAAGGUGGACGAGGUGUGGAAGAGAUAUUUAUGUCUUUGACGUAUAUCGCUGGAAUCUGUUGCUCUUAAAUUGCCACCUUGGAACUCCA